AUACGGAGGGGGUUAGCGUUGUUCGGAAUUACUGGGCGUAAAGCGCACGUAGGCGGAUUGGAAAGUUGGGGGUGAAAUCCCAGGGCUCAACCCUGGAACUGCCUCCAAAACUAACAGUCUAGAGUUCGAGAGAGGUGAGUGGAAUUCCAAGUGUAGAGGUGAAAUUCGUAGAUAUUUGGAGGAACACCAGUGGCGAAGGCGGCUCACUGGCUCGAUACUGACGCUGAGGUGCGAAAGCGUGGGGAGCAAACAGAAUUAGAAACCCCAGUAGUCC
RNAcentral lists this ribosomal RNA (274 nucleotides) under uncultured bacterium. RNAcentral's name for it is "partial 16S ribosomal RNA". It matches the Rfam family "Bacterial small subunit ribosomal RNA", at positions 523 to 796 of the family's 1533-position model. The record is from RNAcentral.